This 478-nucleotide ribosomal RNA is filed under the name Thinophilus nitens. RNAcentral's name for it is "partial 16S ribosomal RNA". The stretch from base 348 to 478 matches the Rfam family "Bacterial large subunit ribosomal RNA", at positions 2473 to 2603 of the family's 2925-position model. The record is from RNAcentral. Lineage: Eukaryota; Metazoa; Arthropoda; Insecta; Diptera; Dolichopodidae.
UGAUAAGUUUAAAGGCCGCAGUAUUUUAACUGUGCAAAGGUAGCAUAAUCAUUAGUUUUUUAAUUGAAGGCUUGUAUGAAUGAUUGGACGAGAUAUAAUCUGUCUCUAAUAAAUUUUUAGAAUUUUAUUUUUUAGUUAAAAAGCUAAAAUAAUUUUAAAAGACGAGAAGACCCUAUAGAUCUUUAUAUAAAAAUUUUUAUUUUUUUAUUAGAUUAUUUUUAAUAAUAAAAUUUAUUAUAUUUUAUUGGGGUGAUAUUGAAAUUAAAUUAACUUUCAAAAAUUAAUAAAACAGUGAUUUUUGAAUUAUUGAUCCUUUAUUAUUGAUUAAAAAUUUAAGUUACCUUAGGGAUAACAGCGUAAUUAUUUUGGAGAGUUCUUAUCGAUAAAAUAGAUUGCGACCUCGAUGUUGGAUUAAGAUUAAUUCUAGGCGUAGCAGUUUAGAAUAUUAAGUCUGUUCGACUUUUAAUUUCUUACAUGA